RNAcentral lists this ribosomal RNA (433 nucleotides) under uncultured bacterium. Its description in RNAcentral is "partial 16S ribosomal RNA". It matches the Rfam family "Bacterial small subunit ribosomal RNA", at positions 29 to 507 of the family's 1533-position model. The record is from RNAcentral.
AACGAACGCUGGCGGCAUGCCUAACACAUGCAAGUCGAACGAGACCUUCGGGUCUAGUGGCGCACGGGUGCGUAACGCGUGGGAACCUGCCCUUAGGUUCGGAAUAACUCCCCGAAAGGGGUGCUAAUACCGGAUAAUGUCUUCGGACCAAAGAUUUAUCGCCUUUGGAUGGGCCCGCGUUGGAUUCGCUAGUUGGUAGGGUAAAAGCCUACCAAGGCGACGAUCCAUAGCUGGUCUGAGAGGAUGAUCAUCCACACUGGGACUGAGACACGGCCCAGACUCCUACGGGAGGGAGCAGUGGGGAAUAUUGGACAAUGGGCGAAAGCCUGAUCAAGCAAUGCCGCGUGAGUGAUGAAGGCCUUAGGGUUGUAAAGCUCUUUUACCCGGGAUGAUAAUGACAGUACCGGGAGAAUAAGCUCCGGCUAACUCCGUG